AUGCACGCUGGCGGCGUGCCUAAUACAUGCCAGUCGAGCGAACAGACGAGGAGCUUGCUCCUCUGACGUUAGCGGCGGACGGGUGAGUAACACGUGGAUAACCUACCUAUAAGACUGGGAUAACUUCGGGAAACCGGAGCUAAUACCGGAUAAUAUAUUGAACCGCAUGGUUCAAUAGUGAAAGACGGUUUUGCUGUCACUUAUAGAUGGAUCCGCGCCGCAUUAGCUAGUUAGUAAGGUAACGGCUUACCAAGGCAACGAUGCGUAGCCGACCUGAGAGGGUGAUCGGCCACACUGGAACUGAGACACGGUCCAGACUCCUACGGGAGGCAGCAGUAGGGAAUCUUCCGCAAUGGGCGAAAGCCUGACGGAGCAACGCCGCGUGAGUGAUGAAGGUCUUCGGAUCGUAAAACUCUGUUAUUAGGGAAGAACAAAUGUGUAAGUAACUAUGCACGUCUUGACGGUACCUAAUCAGAAAGCCACGGCUAACUACGUG
Molecule: ribosomal RNA, 496 nt
Filed under: uncultured bacterium
Lineage: Bacteria
Description: partial 16S ribosomal RNA
Rfam family: Bacterial small subunit ribosomal RNA
Source: RNAcentral